UUAAGCGACUAAGCGUACACGGUGGAUGCCCUGGCAGUCAGAGGCGAUGAAGGACGUGCUAAUCUGCGAUAAGCGUCGGUAAGGUGAUAUGAACCGUUAUAACCGGCGAUUUCCGAAUGGGGAAACCCAGUGUGAUUCGUCACACUAUCAUUAACUGAAUCCAUAGGUUAAUGAGGCGAACCGGGGGAACUGAAAACAUCUAAGUACCCCGAGGAAAAGAAAUCAACCGAGAUUCCCCCAGUAGCGGCGAGCGAACGGGGAGCAGCCCAGAGCCUGAAUCAGUGUGUGUGUUAGUGGAAGCGUCUGGAAAGGCGUGCGAUACAGGGUGACAGCCCCGUACACAAAAAUGCACAUACUGUGAGCUCGAUGAGUAGGGCGGGACACGUGGUAUCCUGUCUGAAUAUGGGGGGACCAUCCUCCAAGGCUAAAUACUCCUGACUGACCGAUAGUGAACCAGUACCGUGAGGGAAAGGCGAAAAGAACCCCGGCGAGGGGAGUGAAAAAGAACCUGAAACCGUGUACGUACAAGCAGUGGGAGCACGCUUAGGCGUGUGACUGCGUACCUUUUGUAUAAUGGGUCAGCGACUUAUAUUCUGUAGCAAGGUUAACCGAAUAGGGGAGCCGAAGGGAAACCGAGUCUUAACUGGGCGUUAAGUUGCAGGGUAUAGACCCGAAACCCGGUGAUCUAGCCAUGGGCAGGUUGAAGGUUGGGUAACACUAACUGGAGGACCGAACCGACUAAUGUUGAAAAAUUAGCGGAUGACUUGUGGCUGGGGGUGAAAGGCCAAUCAAACCGGGAGAUAGCUGGUUCUCCCCGAAAGCUAUUUAGGUAGCGCCUCGUGAAUUCAUCUCCGGGGGUAGAGCACUGUUUCGGCAAGGGGGUCAUCCCGACUUACCAACCCGAUGCAAACUGCGAAUACCGGAGAAUGUUAUCACGGGAGACACACGGCGGGUGCUAACGUCCGUCGUGAAGAGGGAAACAACCCAGACCGCCAGCUAAGGUCCCAAAGUCAUGGUUAAGUGGGAAACGAUGUGGGAAGGCCCAGACAGCCAGGAUGUUGGCUUAGAAGCAGCCAUCAUUUAAAGAAAGCGUAAUAGCUCACUGGUCGAGUCGGCCUGCGCGGAAGAUGUAACGGGGCUAAACCAUGCACCGAAGCUGCGGCAGCGACGCUUAUGCGUUGUUGGGUAGGGGAGCGUUCUGUAAGCCUGUGAAGGUGUACUGUGAGGUAUGCUGGAGGUAUCAGAAGUGCGAAUGCUGACAUAAGUAACGAUAAAGCGGGUGAAAAGCCCGCUCGCCGGAAGACCAAGGGUUCCUGUCCAACGUUAAUCGGGGCAGGGUGAGUCGACCCCUAAGGCGAGGCCGAAAGGCGUAGUCGAUGGGAAACAGGUUAAUAUUCCUGUACUUGGUGUUACUGCGAAGGGGGGACGGAGAAGGCUAUGUUGGCCGGGCGACGGUUGUCCCGGUUUAAGCGUGUAGGCUGGUUUUCCAGGCAAAUCCGGAAAAUCAAGGCCGAGGCGUGAUGACGAGGCACUACGGUGCUGAAGCAACAAAUGCCCUGCUUCCAGGAAAAGCCUCUAAGCAUCAGGUAACAUCAAAUCGUACCCCAAACCGACACAGGUGGUCAGGUAGAGAAUACCAAGGCGCUUGAGAGAACUCGGGUGAAGGAACUAGGCAAAAAUGGUGCCGUAACUUCGGGAGAAGGCACGCUGAUACGUAGGUGAAGCGACUUGCUCGUGGAGCUGAAAUCAGUCGAAGAUACCAGCUGGCUGCAACUGUUUAUUAAAAACACAGCACUGUGCAAACACGAAAGUGGACGUAUACGGUGUGACGCCUGCCCGGUGCCGGAAGGUUAAUUGAUGGGGUUAGCGCAAGCGAAGCUCUUGAUCGAAGCCCCGGUAAACGGCGGCCGUAACUAUAACGGUCCUAAGGUAGCGAAAUUCCUUGUCGGGUAAGUUCCGACCUGCACGAAUGGCGUAAUGAUGGCCAGGCUGUCUCCACCCGAGACUCAGUGAAAUUGAACUCGCUGUGAAGAUGCAGUGUACCCGCGGCAAGACGGAAAGACCCCGUGAACCUUUACUAUAGCUUGACACUGAACAUUGAGCCUUGAUGUGUAGGAUAGGUGGGAGGCUUUGAAGUGUGGACGCCAGUCUGCAUGGAGCCGACCUUGAAAUACCACCCUUUAAUGUUUGAUGUUCUAACGUGGACCCGUAAUCCGGGUUGCGGACAGUGUCUGGUGGGUAGUUUGACUGGGGCGGUCUCCUCCUAAAGAGUAACGGAGGAGCACGAAGGUUGGCUAAUCCUGGUCGGACAUCAGGAGGUUAGUGCAAUGGCAUAAGCCAGCUUGACUGCGAGCGUGACGGCGCGAGCAGGUGCGAAAGCAGGUCACAGUGAUCCGGUGGUUCUGAAUGGAAGGGCCAUCGCUCAACGGAUAAAAGGUACUCCGGGGAUAACAGGCUGAUACCGCCAAGAGUUCAUAUCGACGGCGGUGUUUGGCACCUCGAUGUCGGCUCAUCACAUCCUGGGGCUGAAGUAGGUCCCAAGGGUAUGGCUGUUCGCCAUUUAAAGUGGUACGCGAGCUGGGUUUAGAACGUCGUGAGACAGUUCGGUCCCUAUCUGCCGUGGGCGCUGGAGAACUGAGGGGGGCUGCUCCUAGUACGAGAGGACCGGAGUGGACGCAUCACUGGUGUUCGGGUUGUCAUGCCAAUGGCACUGCCCGGUAGCUAAAUGCGGAAGAGAUAAGUGCUGAAAGCAUCUAAGCACGAAACUUGACCCCGAGAUGAGUUCUCCCUGACCCUUUAAGGGUCCUGAAGGAACGUUGAAGACGACGACGUUGAUAGGCCGGGUGUGUAAGCGCAGCGAUGCGUUGAGCUAACCGGUACUAAUGAACCGUUGAGGCUUAACCUU
This 2905-nucleotide ribosomal RNA is filed under the name Shigella flexneri K-1770. RNAcentral's name for it is "bacterial LSU rRNA". It matches the Rfam family "Bacterial large subunit ribosomal RNA". Lineage: Bacteria; Pseudomonadati; Pseudomonadota; Gammaproteobacteria; Enterobacterales; Enterobacteriaceae. The record is from RNAcentral.